RNAcentral lists this long non-coding RNA (1668 nucleotides) under Sus scrofa (pig). RNAcentral's name for it is "lncRNA (ENSSSCG00015043001.1)". The record is from RNAcentral. Lineage: Eukaryota; Metazoa; Chordata; Mammalia; Artiodactyla; Suidae.
GUGGGGAGAAGAAUCGCAAUUUGGAUGUGUUCAGUUGAGCAGCUUGUGGGGUAUCCAAGUGUGGGGGGCAGGUGAGCUGAGUUAAAUAUGGCUUGAAGCCAAACUGCCUGGAUUUGAAUCUCCCCUCCUCAACUGUUCAGCUGUGUGACAUUGGGCAAGUUUAUUAACCUCUCUGUGCUUCUGUAUUAGAGUCUCCAGAAAAACAGAGCUGACACGAUGCAUAUAGAGAAAGAGACAGAGAGAGAGAGAGAUUUAUUUUAAGGCACUGGCUCACAUGAUUGGGGAUGGCAAGUUCAAACUUUACAAGGCAGCCAGCUGCCUGGAAAUUCCCCCAGGAGUUGAUGUUAUAGUCUCAAGUCCUAAGGCAGUCUAAGUCCUGAGGUAAAACGCCUUCCUCUUCAGAGUACCUCAAUCUUUUCUCUUUAAGUCCUUCAACUAAUUAGAUGAGGCCCACCACAUUAUGGACAGGAAUUCAUUCUAUGCUCUGCACUGAUUUAAAUGUUAAUACCUGCCAGAAAAUACCUUCAUGACAACCAUCUAGAUUAGUGUUUGACCAAGGAACUGGGUGCCACAGUCUGGUCCAGUUACACAUAAAAAUAACCAUUGCAGCUUUCCUUUCCUUAUCUGUGAGAAGGUAAUAAUAGUACCUCCUUGCUAUAGCUGUGGGAGAAUGAAAGGGCUAUUCUCUGUCCCAUGCUGAGAUAAGUGCUGACAUGUCUACGUCAGGUAAGCAAGCAUCAUGGCUUUGUCUGCUCCAGCGUCCAAGUGGAGAUGCCAAGGAAGUCUUGAAUGUACUGGUCUGAAAGCAGUGCAGACACUGAUGUGGAGUCCUUAGGGUGGUCCCGGGAGCUGGGUGGGUAGAAGAAGAUCCUUCAGUGCACAGGGCAGGCUUGUUUCCCUGGCCACACCUUUUAUGAACCUUGCAUCCAUCACUUCAAGUUCCCCAUCAUUCCCCAGCACCAGGUUUUUCCUCCCUCACUCCCCGUGCUACUCUCUCAUAAGGGUCAAAUGCCAGGCCCUGCGGGCUUUUCCCAGCAUGGCCUGGGCGGUUGCGCAGGUUGGGAACUGCACUUAUCCUACUCCUGUGGCAUGCUUUACAGCAUCCCCAACAUCCUCAAAGUCAAGGAUGUGCCCUAUGCCUGUUCUGAGGCAGCAUCAAGUAGUGGUGAUGAGCCAAGGCUUGGGAAUUGGCAGGUACUAGUUGAUAUCUGAGUCCUUUGAAUGGACUCAAUGUCAUGGAGGCUUAUGUUCCCCAUCUGUAAAAUGGGAAUAAUGCACAUGGAACAGGACUAUAGGAGGAUUAAAGGACAAAGAUGUGUAAAACAAGGCAUGAAUAAUUGUGGCUUGUUGUCACCUCUGUAGCUCCUAUGCACAGCAUGGUCCGCAUGUAGCUUGCCUUCUUUGUGAAGUUGAAUGAUUUGGUCUUAAAGACCUGAGAGAUACAUCUUUGGAAAGGAUGGGAAGCCUGUCAGACCUCCCCUCUGUGCAGUGGGUUUUCUUGGGCCCACUGGGCUUGUGACCCUACCCACCAGUCUGCCCAGAUGUGCCACCUAAGGUAGAUGCCUGUCCCCUGGAGAGGACUUUGCUGUCUGAUUUCUCUCUAGGCAAGCUCUGUUUACAGCUAAUUUGCCCUUGCCUUGUGCCUUCUGAGUUUUUGACAACAACCUU